Molecule: long non-coding RNA, 1049 nt
Organism: Oncorhynchus keta (chum salmon)
Lineage: Eukaryota; Metazoa; Chordata; Actinopteri; Salmoniformes; Salmonidae
Exons: 6
Source: RefSeq, a predicted model, not a curated record
AUCGAUGGACACCGUGCCGCCCCUGAUCGAUGGACACCGUGCCGCCCCUGAUCGAUGGACACCGUGCCGCCCCUGAUCGAUGGACACCGUGCCGCCCCUGAUCGAUGGACACCGUGCCGCCCCUGAUCGAUGGACACCGUGCCGCCCCUGAUCGAUGGACACCGUGCCGCCCCUGAUCGAUGGACACCGUGACAUCAUCAACGUCCCGGGACGACAUGGUGGCAACAUAACAAUGUGUGAGGCUGUUAGUCAUGUAAAUCUAGGCCCAUACAGCCACUGCACACAUUAUCACAUUUCAGGACCCCCUCCACAACAGACUAAUCCCUAAUGACCAGGGACCAGAGCAGACCAGGUACAUUAUCACAUUUCAGGACCCCCUCCACAACAGACUAAUCCCUAAUGACCAGGGACCAGAGCAGACCAGGUACAUUAUCACAUUUCAGGACCCCCUCCACAACAGACUAAUCCCUAAUGACCAGGGACCAGAGCAGCCCAGGUACAUUAUCACAUUUCAGGACCCCCUCCACAACAGACUAAUCCCUAAUGACCAGGGACCAGAGCAGACCAGGUACAUUAUCACAUUUCAGGACCCCCUCCACAACAGACUAAUCCCUAAUGACCAGGGACCAGAGCAGCCCAGGUACAUUAUCACAUUUCAGGACCCCCUCCACAACAGACUAAUCCCUAAUGACCAGGGACCAGAGCAGACCAGGUACAUUAUCACAUUUCAGGACCCCCUCCACAACAGACUAAUCCCUAAUGACCAGGGACCAGAGCAGACCAGGUACAUUAUCACAUUUCAGGACCCCCUCCACAACAGACUAAUCCCUAAUGACCAGGGACCAGAGCAGACCAGGUACAUUAUCACAUUUCAGGACCCCCUCCACAACAGACUAAUCCCUAAUGACCAGGGACCAGAGCAGACCAGGUACAUUAUCACAUUUCAGGACCCCCUCCACAACAGACUAAUCCCUAAUGACCAGGGACCAGAGCAGACCAGGUACAUUAUCACAUUUCAGGACCCCCUCCACAACAGACUAAUCCCUAAU